Passer domesticus (house sparrow) is the source of this 801-nucleotide long non-coding RNA. RefSeq lists it as uncharacterized. The record is from RefSeq and is a predicted model, not a curated record. Lineage: Eukaryota; Metazoa; Chordata; Aves; Passeriformes; Passeridae. The transcript is spliced from 3 exons.
CUCUGGGGCAUGGCCACAUUCCCACAUGGGAAUAAUGUAUGUUUGUGGAUGUCACAGGUGACAACAUCCAAGUGUGGGCUGAGGCAUCCCCCUCAGCCAAUAAACCAGGGUGCACACUUUUGUAAAAUGAAUGCAUUCACUGAGAACAAAGACUAUACUAACUAGGAUGUCCAUGAAACGCAGCAAAAAGGCAAUCAGCCCUCUGGUUUGGCUGUUCUCUACUCUUCCUUAUAAAGUAGAACUUAGAGAACUGCUCAGAAAAUAUGUAUCGGUUGGAAUGAGGAUGUUAAAUGAGGCAGACAAGGAGGAUUUGCUACUUAGGGAUACUGAACAUCACUUCUGUGCUUGAGGAGUCCUGCAGUUUGGAUGAAGGUCACAGGUUAUCUCCAGCUGCAUAAAAAUGAGUGAUAAAUAUCUACUGUUUCUCUUAGACUGAAAGCAGUGUUAAACAAAGAGUAUUAAAAUAAGGAAUAUUACUCAAAAAUCAUCCCAUGGUUUUCUAAAGACGGCAAUCUUCUAUUAGAAGACAGUUUGUUACCUCCUCCAUAUAUUAAAGCUGUAACAUAAUAAUAAAAGCAGCUCAAACUUGUUGAAGUAUCAAAGAUACAUAGAUUAAAUAAGAUCUAUGCAGUGAGAGCACCCUAAAAACAUCACAAGAGCAGUGACAAUUUCUGAGAUAGUAAUGACAUGAACCAAUAUUUAAGAGUUAAGUCUAAAUGAAGAAGAUAAUUUUUCAACUAAUGGAAAAUGUGGGAAUAAAGGAUGAGAUAUGUGAUUAAAUUUCAUAGUGUAUUAACAAAG